CAUGAUUCUCAAUUGUGUGAUCCU
RNAcentral lists this non-coding RNA (24 nucleotides) under Arabidopsis thaliana (thale cress). Lineage: Eukaryota; Viridiplantae; Streptophyta; Magnoliopsida; Brassicales; Brassicaceae. The record is from RNAcentral.